AAAGCAGCAUGCUGGUAGUGUCUGAGUUCAUUGGCUGUUCUCCUUCUCUAAGUGGUGCUAUACGUGUGAACCCAUGGAAUGUGGAAGCAACUGCAGAAGCACUGAAUGAGGCAAUUUCAAUGGCUGAUGGUGAGAAGGUGUUGCGCCAUGAGAAGCAUUACAAGUAUGUAAGCACACAUGACGUAGCUUAUUGGUCAAGAAGCUUCUUCCAGGAUCUGGAGAGAAGUUGCAGAGACCAUUUCAGGCGACGUUGCUGGGGUAUAGGCUUGAGCUUCGGUUUUAGGGUUGUAGCACUUGAUCCUAAUUUUAAAAAGCUAUCCAUUGACACUAUUGUUUCUGCUUACUCAAGAGCCAAAAAUCGGGCAAUAUUGUUGGAUUAUGAUGGCACUCUCAUGCCUCAAACAGCCAUCAAUAAGGUCCCUAGUCCCGAAGUUAUUUCAAUUAUUAACUCACUUUGUGGGGAUGAAAGAAAUACCGUGUUUCUUGUGAGUGGACGAGGAAGGGAUAGUUUAGGCCAGUGGUUUUCUCCGUGUGAGAAACUUGGUAUUGCUGCGGAACACGGAUACUUCUUAAGGUGGUCUGCAGAUAAAGAAUGGGAAGUCGUAGGGCAGAACAAUGAUUUCCAGUGGAUGCAGAUAGCUGAACCUGUUAUGAAACAGUAUACAGAAGCUACAGAUGGGUCUUCCAUUGAAACAAAAGAGAGUGCUGUUGUUUGGCAUUAUCGAGAUGCAGAUCUUGGUUUUGGGUCUUGCCAAGCUAAAGAGAUGUUAGACCAUCUUGAGAGUGUUCUUGCAAAUGAGCCUGUUGCUGUGAAGAGUGGGCAGUUCAUUGUUGAAGUUAAGCCUCAGGGAGUUAGUAAAGGUCUAGUUGCAGAGAAAAUUUUUGCAACAAUGGCUGAGAGUGGCCGGCAGGCUGACUUUGUGCUGUGCGUAGGUGAUGAUAGGUCUGACGAGGACAUGUUUGAGAUUAUUGGAAAUGCAAUAAAUAGUGGUAUACUUUCUUCAAGCACGGAAGUGUAUGCUUGCACAGUGGGACAAAAGCCAAGUAAAGCCACAUAUUAUCUUGAUGACACCGCAGAAGUUAGAACCAUGCUUCAUGCUCUUGCCGAGGAAUCCAUUCCUCCUCCUCCAUCAGAAAUUGUAACAUGAAGCUCUGUUUGGAGUAUAUCCUUUUCUGUACUUCUCUGAGUGCACACCACAAUGACUCAACCCUUUGAAG
This 1218-nucleotide unclassified non-coding RNA is filed under the name Hevea brasiliensis (rubber tree). The record is from RNAcentral. Lineage: Eukaryota; Viridiplantae; Streptophyta; Magnoliopsida; Malpighiales; Euphorbiaceae.